Molecule: long non-coding RNA, 422 nt
Filed under: Triticum aestivum (bread wheat)
Lineage: Eukaryota; Viridiplantae; Streptophyta; Magnoliopsida; Poales; Poaceae
Description: long non-coding RNA (TAES_LNC002869)
Source: RNAcentral
GUUUCCAUUUUUUCAUACAGUGGCUGAAGAUUGUUGACGCAGAUGGAUUUGUCGCUCCUUUCUAUUGAAGUUCCAACUUAUCAUCGUCAAGAUCAAAACUAAUGGCUUAUUUGCAUUGUCUCUUGUUUGGUUAAUGUUUUCUUAAAAAGACUGGUGUAAUGUUUGAGUGUCGAUGUCAUGGUGUUAUGCGCCAUUAGUUUGUUGAUCGUCGACGCCAAGAUUAAAACUAACGGCUUGUUUGCCGGGCGUCUUAUUUAGUUCUAUGUUUGGUUAAUGCUUCCUUGGAAAGACUCAAGCAAUGUUCAACUGUUUUGUCAUGGUGCUAUGCGCAGCUGUUUCUUGCUUGUUUAUUAAUUAGUUUUCCUUGGUCUGUUCUAUUGACAUGAAUGGAAUAUAUGUAUACAUAAUUAUUGAAAUUGCUU